Molecule: ribosomal RNA, 244 nt
Filed under: uncultured bacterium
Lineage: Bacteria
Description: partial 16S ribosomal RNA
Rfam family: Bacterial small subunit ribosomal RNA
Source: RNAcentral
CGACCGGCGCACGGGUGAGUAACACGUAUCCAACCUGCCGUCUACUCUUGGCCAGCCUUCUGAAAGGAAGAUUAAUCCAGGAUGGGAUCAUGAGUUCACAUGUCCGCAUGGUUAAAGGUAUUUUCCGGUAGACGAUGGGGAUGCGUUCCAUUAGAUAGUAGGCGGGGUAACGGCCCACCUAGUCAACGAUGGAUAGGGGUUCUGAGAGGAAGGUCCCCCACAUUGGAACUGAGACACGGUCCAA